GACGAACGCUGGCGGCGUGCUUAACACAUGCAAGUCGAACGGAAAGGCCCUGCUUUUGUGGGGUGCUCGAGUGGCGAACGGGUGAGUAACACGUGAGUAACCUGCCCUUGACUUUGGGAUAACUUCAGGAAACUGGGGCUAAUACCGGAUAGGAGCUCCUGCUGCAUGGUGGGGGUUGGAAAGUUUCGGCGGUUGGGGAUGGACUCGCGGCUUAUCAGUGUGUUGGUGGGGUAGUGGCUUACCAAGGCUUUGACGGGUAGCCGACAUGAGAGGGUGACCGGGCACAUAGGGAAUACGGUAGCGACAAGCCGCGAAGGGGGGGAAAGGGGGGAGAUUUUGACAGAGGGACGGAGAGCUAUUGCAGGAGGCCCCGGGUGGGGAAGAACUUGUUUGGGUUUUAAACCGUUUUUCACAGUGGAAAGGGGGGGAGGUAAGGGUAUGUGUAAAGAAAGCCCCGCUAACUACGGC
RNAcentral lists this ribosomal RNA (468 nucleotides) under uncultured bacterium. RNAcentral describes it as "partial 16S ribosomal RNA". It matches the Rfam family "Bacterial small subunit ribosomal RNA", at positions 28 to 508 of the family's 1533-position model. The record is from RNAcentral.